CCAAUAGCGUAUAUUAAAGUUGUUGUGGUUAAAAAGCUCGUAGUUGAACCUUGGGCCUGGCUGGCCGGUCCGCCUCACCGCGUGUACUGGUCCGGCCGGGCCUUUCCCUCUGUGGAACCUCAUGCCCUUCACUGGGUGUGACGGGGAAGCAGGACUUUUACUGUGAAAAAAUUAGAGUGCUCCAAGCAGGCCUAUGCUCGAAUACAUUAGCAUGGAAUAAUAAAAUAGGACGUGCGGUUCUAUUUUGUUGGUUUCUAGGACCGCCGUAAUGAUUAAUAGGGACAGUCGGGGGCAUCAGUAUUCAAUUGUCAGAGGUGAAAUUCUUGGAUUUAUUGAAGACUAACUACUGCGAAAGCAUUUGCCAAGGAUGUUUUCAUUAAUCAGGAACGAAAGUUAGGGGAUCGAAGACGAUCAGAUACCGUCGUAGUCUUAACCAUAAACUAUGCCGACUAGGGAUCGGAUGAUGUUAAUUUUAUAAUGACUCAUUCGGCGCCUUACG
Molecule: unclassified non-coding RNA, 499 nt
Filed under: uncultured Paraglomus
Lineage: Eukaryota; Fungi; Glomeromycota; Glomeromycetes; Paraglomerales; Paraglomeraceae
Description: SSU rRNA
Rfam family: Eukaryotic small subunit ribosomal RNA
Source: RNAcentral